UUGGAGGUUACAAGAAAACUAUCAUCAAUCUGCUUUUGCAUUUCUUCUUUGAUCUUUACUGCCAUAUCAGGAUGCGUUCUUCUCAACUUCUGCUUGACCAAUGGGUAUUCUGGCUUCAACGGCAAUCUAUGCUCCACAAUCUCAGAAUCCAAACCAGGCAUAUCUUGAUAAGACCAAGCAAACACAUCAGAGUAUUCUCG
This 200-nucleotide long non-coding RNA is filed under the name Lathyrus oleraceus (garden pea). Its description in RNAcentral is "Pisum sativum (pea) long non-coding RNA (PSAT_LNC024371)". Lineage: Eukaryota; Viridiplantae; Streptophyta; Magnoliopsida; Fabales; Fabaceae. The record is from RNAcentral.